This 2232-nucleotide long non-coding RNA is filed under the name Paramuricea clavata. Lineage: Eukaryota; Metazoa; Cnidaria; Anthozoa; Malacalcyonacea; Plexauridae. The record is from RNAcentral.
GCGUAGGUUCUUUCGAUAGAAUCAAGGACGAUCUACACCAUAGUUUGAAUAUGUAUUAUUUACACUAACACAAGCUCAAAAGCCAGUGCGAAAACUAUAUACAAAAAAGGUGAUUAUCAAAUUAUCCUGAAUGUCCCAGUUAUCCUAGUGCAAGUGUAAUUCUAUCCUAGUUCAAUUAACUAACCGUGUUCGAUAUAAGAGAUUAAUAAUGAACUGUUUAUAUUAGAAUGCGUGCAAGAUAUCUAUAAUGUUCAAAGUACUGUCAAUUCUCGACAUCCUCCGGGGGGCGCGAGAGUAUGGAUGUCCACUGUUUCAAUUUCUCCUUUGCCAAUCGUGCUUUUGCUCGAACAGGUCUGCUUGACGUUUGAUCUAUGACGUCAGCUGGGUGAGGAUUUGUUGAGGGAUUCUUUGCGUCUAGGUUUUCGUCAAUGGUGAUCUUUGGGUUCUCUGUUGUUGUGGAUUUAACUUCGAGUGGGUAAAGUUUAGUUACUGGUCUGUUCGUAUGUCCAGUACUUGUUUUGAUAUUUGCUGCCCGUACUAGUCCGUCUUUUCCCUUGAUUAAACUUUGUACAACAGCAAGUCUCCAGUUAACACGUUUCGUGUCAUCGUGUACUUGAACGACAUCACCAACACGUAUCUCGGUUGAAUUGUUUCCAGUGGUUUUAUGAAAUUCCCGUAAGCUCGUCAGAUAUUCUUGACGCCAACGUUUCCAAAAGUGUUGUAUUAGGUGUGUUCUCAAUUUUGCUUGGACAUCAAUGUUACUAGGUUCGGAUUCAUAGAUAGGAUCACGAAACUCGUCGUCUUCGUAAAGGGGGUGGGGUAAGGUGGUAAUUCUCCGGCCAUACAGUAGAUGGGAUGGUGUUAAUGGUUCUGUGUCGUCUAGUUCUGAUGAUACGUGGGUUAACGGGCGGUCAUUGAGGAUUGCUUCCGUUUCGGAGGAAAUUGUUUGGAGCUCUUCUAAAGUGACAUUCGCCUUUCCGAGAACCCUUUUCAAGGAGUUUUUUGUCAGACCAAUUAAUCUUUCCCAGAAACCACCGUACCAUGGUGCUCGUUUUGGGAUAAAUUUCCACUGGAUUCCUCGUUUACUGAGAUUGGUUUCCAACUCUGUUGAAUUGAAUAGUAGGGUCAACUCUUCCGCGGCAGAUUGGUACGUUGAUGCAUUGUCUGACACCAUAAUUUUUGGUAAGGACUUGCGGCUUGCGAAUCUUCGAAAGGCAGACAUGAAGGUCGGAACAGUUAAAUUUGUGACUACUUCGAGGUGGACUGCGCGUGUGUUUGCACAGGUGAACAAGCAGAUGUAGACCUUUUCUUGUCCACGUGGCGUUUUGACGUAGAUGGCCCCGGUGAAGUCUACACCGGUGACGGUAAAUGGGUGGGAGUCAGUCAUUCUAUAGAAUGGAAGUGGAGGUGGGUCAGGGGCAUUGUAUGGUGUUCCGAAGACCUUUCGACACGUUACACAUUUGCGAAGUAUUUUCUUGAUGUACUGGCGAGCUGUUGGAAUCCAAUACUUCUGGCGUAUUUGUGUCAGGGUUUGGUUUAAUCCAGCGUGUUGUAGUUUCUCGUGUGCAUCGUUGACAACCAGCAAGGUGAAAUGGUGGUUUGGGGGUAAGAGUAUGGGAAACUUUGCUGAAUGUUCCACUGGUGCAUUGUGAAUUCUGCCACCACAACGAAUGAUGUUGUCUUCCAGAGUAAACAGGCGAAGUUGACGUACAAGGGGUAGACGAGAGGUUUUCGGCUUUUGUAUGUUGGCAAGUUCGUUACCGUAGGCGUCGUUUUGGAUUUCCCGUAUCCAAACAUUUCUCGCGUUUUCAACUUCGUGGACCUUUAGUGGUUUUCCCUUACAUGCGUUGCCCUUUUGCAGGGUAUUAACGAAGCGAAGUACCCAUGCUGUAGUUCGCAGUAGUCGUUGAAGGUCACUGAAUUUGGUAGGUGGAAUAAUCUGGGUUAUGCUGGCGUUUGUAGAUGUGUCGGUGACUUCGGCAGUGACUUUGCUCGUUUCUUGAUCUUCGUCGAGGCAGGACUGCAGAAGAACGUUGUUAGGUUUCCAUUCUGGCCAGUGGUCGUGGUUGGUUAGCCAAGGUGGGCCAUGCGUCCACAAAUUAGACUUGGAAAGGUCGUCUGUCGAGAUUCCUCGUGUUAGGAGAUCUGCUGGAUUGUCAGAAGUUGGACAGUAGUUCCAGGUGGCAUUGUUGGUGGCUUGGUGAAUUUCUUUAACUCGGUUCUGAAUAAAGC